AGAGAGAGAGAGAGAGAGAGAGAAGGAAAGAGAUGGGUUAGGCUGCAAAUAGAGCUGGAGGGUUCUGGGUUAGUUUUCAGUUUUGGGUGGUGGCGUUGAGUGUGAUGGAAGUGGAAAUAUUGAAUGGCCGGGCCUUUUGGGAGAGGCAGCAGCAGAAGCAGGUAUCAGAAUGGUGGCAGCAGUUGCACAAGCAACAAGAAGAGAUUAGUAAGCAGAAGCAAAGACAGAGCAGUAAAGAAACAACCACCACUCACUAAAGAAAAGUGCCCUCCAUUAAAAGCUGGAACAGAAAAAGCGCAAGGGCCUGAGUCUGGAUCCUCAACGGAACGAUCGUCACCUUCACCAUUAUCAUCAACAUCAAGACAUCAUAACCCUAAAUUCAAGACAUGUAGAAGGAGGAGAAGGAGAAAGAGAGCAACAAGAACUAGAUCACCACCAACCACAGAAACACCAUUACUACCAUCAUCAAUUACCCUUUCUUCUCCAACAAGAUCAAAACCAGCAUUUCUAUCAAAGAUUGGAUUUACAACAAAUACAAAACCCUCUAAACCCAUCAAAGAAACGAUCUUGCUUC
RNAcentral lists this unclassified non-coding RNA (574 nucleotides) under Hevea brasiliensis (rubber tree). The record is from RNAcentral. Lineage: Eukaryota; Viridiplantae; Streptophyta; Magnoliopsida; Malpighiales; Euphorbiaceae.